Molecule: ribosomal RNA, 391 nt
Filed under: Mormyrus ovis
Lineage: Eukaryota; Metazoa; Chordata; Actinopteri; Osteoglossiformes; Mormyridae
Description: partial 12S ribosomal RNA
Rfam family: Bacterial small subunit ribosomal RNA
Source: RNAcentral
GCCCAGCCAUAAACCUUGAUGAUAAAUUACAAAUAUCAUCCGCCAGGGAACUACAAGCGCACCGCUCGAAACCCAACGGACUUGGCGGUGCCCCACACCCACCUAGAGGAGCCUGUUCUAUAACUGACAAUCCCCGUUCAACCUCACCACCCCUAGCCCCUUCAGUCUAUAUACCACCGUCGUAAGCUAACCCUGUGAAGGACAAACAGUAAGCAAGAUGGGCACAACCCAGAACGUCAGGUCGAGGUGUAGCAUAUGGAGUGGGAAGAAAUGGGCUACAUUUUCUGAACACAGAACACCAACGAACAACGUCAUGAAACUGCCGUUCAAAGGAGGAUUUAGCAGUAAAAAGAAAACAGAGAGUUCUUUUGAAGCCGGCCCUGGGGCGCGC